CUCAAAUCUCAGGUGGUGCACCCUGGAAUCAGGCUCCCUCCUCUCUAGUUCUGGGUGCAUCACCCGAGAACUGCA
This is a non-coding RNA of Myotis davidii, 75 nucleotides long. The record is from Rfam. NCBI's taxonomy places the organism in Eukaryota, Metazoa, Chordata, Mammalia, Chiroptera, Vespertilionidae.